CACGUAGGGUGCGAGCGUUGUCCGGAAUUAUUGAGCGUAAAGAGCUCGUAGGCGGUGUGUCGCGUCGGCCGUGAAAACCUGCAGCUUAACUGUGGGCUUGCGGUCGAUACGGGCAUCACUGGAGUUCGGCAGGGGAGACUGGAAUUCCUGGUGUAGCGGUGAAAUGCGCAGAUAUCAGGAGGAAUACCGAUGGCGAAGGCAGGUCUCUGGGCUGACACUGACGCUCAUGCACGAAAGCGUGGGGAGCAAACAGG
This 254-nucleotide ribosomal RNA is filed under the name uncultured bacterium. RNAcentral describes it as "partial 16S ribosomal RNA". It matches the Rfam family "Bacterial small subunit ribosomal RNA", at positions 524 to 776 of the family's 1533-position model. The record is from RNAcentral.